Molecule: long non-coding RNA, 3246 nt
Filed under: Meleagris gallopavo (turkey)
Lineage: Eukaryota; Metazoa; Chordata; Aves; Galliformes; Phasianidae
Description: lncRNA (ENSMGAG00000021580.1)
Source: RNAcentral
AUGUACUGCUUGUGUUUAAGUACUUUUUCCUGUUUCAGACUUUGCUUCAGUGAACUGAAUCCUGUUGUUUUAAACUAUAUGACAGAAAUGAUGGAAUUCAGUCUUUCGGAAGUUACCAAAAUUCUACUAAAUAACAGACCUUCUUCUGCCAUGGCUUCUUACUGCUUAUUGCUGAAGAAACUGCUCAGGUGCCAGAAAGCACACAAAAGAAUCCAGAAGGAGCUGCGUUGUCAAGGCUGUGGACCAGUUUUCUUGAAACUCUGGAUAUCAAGCUGAUUUACAGCCCUCCAAGAUGGAACCUUCUGGGUAAGUGGCAGCAUUUCAAAUCCUCUGCCACUUCUUCCAGUAGGGCAGGGGAGCAAGCAAGUGCACAAAGUAAGGCACAAACCAAGAAGCUGUCUGUGCUGCUUCAUGCCAUCCGGAACCAAAGGGUCAUCCCAAGGCAGAUGGCCAAGUGGAAUUCAAACACAGGCUGAAAAGUAGUUCUGGCUGCUGGCUAAUAGUGGUAUGGAUAAUUGUUUUGAACUCUCAGUAUAUAUAUGUUGCCCAAGCAGGCUGAAGAUUUUGGUAGAGCAAGAAGGAGAAGAGGACAAACUAAGAAAGUCAUGACUACUUUUUUUUUUUUUUCCUGUGAUGAAUAAUUGUGUCAGAUUGGACUCUAACAUAAACAAUGCUUUGUAAUAUCCGUUACUAAGAGAAUAAUGGAAAUCUUUCCUUGUCAUUAAAGGCUUGUUUCCUAUUGUUUAUAAUCACAGAGUUUGUAAAUGAUAUCAUUAAACUAAAAAACUCACAACCUGCUACCAUUUAGAGCACCAUUUGCAGUACUAUUUAGAGAUUAUUGUUACCUAAGAGUUUUCAUAAAACUCGUGUAUGUCUUUUCCCCAAAUAUUCACUCUACAUUGUUUGUUACUUAAUUGUAUCUCUCUAAUCCCACUUACGUUCUUUUGUAUUAUGAAAAUGAGUAUUUCUCCUUUGUUGGCAGUUAGGCUCUGCAAACACUUGUAGUUAACAAUGAUCACCUCUCAGAAGCUUUUCAUUCAAGCCUUAGUCACUCUUCCCAAAGAGCUCUUUCAAACAAUGAAGACCAGUGCUGUUGUUUCCUUGCCAGUUUCUCCAAUAGUAUUCCUACUGCCUAGAAAGGCUGAGGUUCAGGCAACAAAAAGGGUGGGAUUGGGGAAGGCUAGCUAAGAUAUCAAGCGGAGCUUUCUUGCUGGAUGCUUUUAUUUUUCCAGUAUUCUCUGGCCUGUUCUUCAGCAAAAGUUCUUUCACACAUAUAUUGACACAAAGAGAAAACUUAGCCCAAAGCAUAAAUGGAGUAAAUAGGAAAAAGAAAGAAAGGCUCUGGUGGGGCAACAGCCCUGGGGAGGAUUCUACACUUUGGUCCAAAAGAGGCCAAGCACAUGCUUCCUGGCAAGCUGCAUUGCCUGGCUGUGGCUGCAAAACAGGAGUGUGAGGAUGUCAACAGAGGGUGAGAGGGGAAGCCUGCCACUUUUUCUUCACCUUCUAGUUCAGCCCCUGUUAAUGGUACUGGAGCUUAAUUACAACAGCAUGGGUAUUUGAUACUUGUACUGCAAAUUAUGCCAAGGAUAUUUCAAAAUGCAUAGAUAGAUGUUCUUUCUGUUCUCCAUAAUGCCAACUAUUUGCUAUUUAUUACUAGCAGUGUGUGAGCCGUCAAUAAACCACACAACAUUUUUUCAGCUUUCCAGAACUUGCAAAUGUAUGCAUCUGCUUUAACUUUAUGGAGCUCAGCAAGAACCCAUGGGCAUAAAAUUAAUGCAUAAACAUUCACUUUUGCAUCUAAAUAAGUGCCAGUUUAAAUCUGAGUGAAGCAAAUAAUAACAACUAACAAAGUCAAAGGUAAAACCAAAUGGCAGAAAAUAAUCCACCAUUCACUGAAAUGAUUUCUGUUUAGGACCGUAAAGGAUAUUGUACAUUCUUGUCUGCCUAUGAAAAGAGAUGUUAGUGGAGACCUAACAUUUGUAAAGGAAUACAAGCAAGCUAAAAGCCUCCUUCUCCUCAGCGAAUUGUUGAGAAAGUUGGCAUCCAGCUCCUUCAAAAGUUCUGCCCAUAAAGAACCAAACAUAUCAAAUAUCAACACAAACAGAAAAGUAUUUGUGUUCAUGACAGUGCUCAUGAAUAACACACAAUAAAAGCUCAACCAGUACAAUCAGAGCAAAACAUGUUUAGUAUUCAAACACAUAUUCAUAAACCACCAUGCUCAACACAUUCCAGGCAGCAGACUGGGCUGUGAUUUUUAGCACAAUACCAAAGAAACGUACAAUUUCCUGGGACAAAUCUUUAGCAACACUUCUACCACUGGAAAAAAAAGCCCAUGGAAAUUAUUUUUCAUGUACAAAAAAACCUGUGUUUGGGAAAACAGUGUGAGUCAUUGUGUUUGCAGCUCCUCCUUGUAUACACAAGCUAACAUUUGUAUAUACAAAUAAUAGUUUUGUUGGAUGCAAACAGAUGGGAUUCUCAUUUUCCUGGGUGCAAUUAGAGAAGUCUGCUGAAAGCUCGACCCUGAAAAAAGCAUAAGAUCCUUUCCAUGUUCAAAUUUGAGCCAUAAGUCAUUGGAUAAACUUAAAACACAGCCUGUCCUUUUAUGCGUCGUAAUUUCUCCAAGCAAUGUAUUUACAUUUUAUGUGUUCUGUUGUAGAAGUGGGAGCCUUAAUGAUUACAAUUUGCCAUCCAGAAUUUUAUAGCUAGUCCUUGCAGAAAAUAGCAUUUUUGCCAAAAAGCUUCCUGCCCAGGUGCUUAACCAAUUAGCUCUUAAGAGGUCUGGCAGUAAAAGCAGUCAUGGCAAGUUUUCUGAUAUACUGUAUAUAAGGUGACAGCUUGCAAAAUGUAAGAUGAAAAUUUGUUUUCUUAACUAGCAGUGUGUAAAAUCCUGGGGGACUAUUUGAUUGCAGAGCCUAAAAUGCUUAUGACAUCUCCAAUUCCCAGCUGAUCUAAUGCGGUUUUAGCAAUAUGUUGUCAAUUUUACCAUAUUGUGUUUCUUCUUAUUAAUACUUAAAAAAUAAUUUCCUUGAUUGUGAUUGGGUGCUGCAAAUAUGUAAGAAGGAUGGAGUAACCCCACAAGCAUGAGGUUUGAGGCCCUUUAGAUUUUUCCAAAUAUUUUUCUAUCUCACAAAAUACAGGCAAACUUUCGAAACUAUCUCUUCUCCAAAAUUAGUCCCACUUUUCUUCUGAUGGCUUGUUGUAUUAAAAACAUAUCAUUCACAAGGGGAAUAUUUUUCUAUGAAAAGA